GACGGAAGUCUGACGCAGCGACGCCGCGUGGAUGAUGAAUGCCUUCGGGUUGUAAAAUCCUUUACGGGGUGACGAGGAAGGACGGUAGCCCCGGAACAAGCGUCGGCUAACUACGUGCCAGCAGCCGCGGUAAGACGUAGGACGCAAGCGUUAUCCGGAUUUACUGUGCGUAAAGCGUCUGUAUGCGGAUGAGUAAGUUGGGCGUGAAAGCUCCGGGCUCAACCCGGAGAGUGCGUUCAAUACUGCUGAUCUAGAGGAUGCCAGAUGGGAGUGGAAUUCAUGGAGUAGCGGUAAAAUGCGCAGAUAUCAGGAAGAACACCAGUGCCGAAGGCGGCUCCCUAGGGCCCACGUGACGCUGAGAGACUACAGCUAGGGGAGCGAACAGGAUUAGAGACCCUGGUAGUCCUAGCCGUAAACGAUGGAUGCUAGGUGUAGGGCCGUAGAGGCUCUGUGCCGGAGCGAACGCGAUAAGCAUCCCGCCUGGGGAGUACGACCGCAAGGCUAAAACUCAAACGAAUUGACGGGGACCCGCACAAGCAACGGAGCGUGUGGUUUAAUUCGAUGCUACACGAAGAACCUUACCUGGGUUUGACAUGGGCGUGGUAGUGAAGCGAAAGCGGAGCGACCCUUCGGGGAGCGUCCACAGGUGCUGCAUGGCUGUCGUCAGCUCGUGCCUUGAGCUGUCGGGUUAAGUCCCGUAACGAGCGCAACACAUUGCCCUUAGUUACAAGUGUCUAAGGGGACUGCCGUCGGGAAGCCGGAGGAAGGUGGGGAUGACGUCAAGUCAGCAUGGCCCUUAUAUCCAGGGCUACACACACGCUACAAUGGCCGGUACAGAGGGCAGCGAAGCCGCGAGGUGGAGCGAAUCCCAGAAAGCCGGUCGUAGUUCGGAUUGCAGGCUGCAACCCGCAUGCAUGAAGCUGGAGUUGCUAGUAACCGCGCGUCAGCCAUAGUGCGCUGAAUACGUUCCCGGGUCUUGUACACACCGCCCGUCACGUCAUGGGAGUCG
This 1009-nucleotide ribosomal RNA is filed under the name uncultured organism. Its description in RNAcentral is "bacterial SSU rRNA". It matches the Rfam family "Bacterial small subunit ribosomal RNA", at positions 374 to 1413 of the family's 1533-position model. The record is from RNAcentral.